GGGGGCAUGGCGGAAUCGGUAGACGCACCAGACUUAAAAUCUGUCGGCACGCAAGUGCUGUGGGGGUUCAAGUCCCCCUGCCCCCA
This 86-nucleotide transfer RNA is filed under the name Synechococcus sp. BL107. RNAcentral's name for it is "tRNA-Leu". It matches the Rfam family "tRNA". Rfam says of the family: Transfer RNA (tRNA) molecules are approximately 80 nucleotides in length. Their secondary structure includes four short double-helical elements and three loops (D, anti-codon, and T loops). Further hydrogen bonds mediate the characteristic L-shaped molecular structure. tRNAs have two regions of fundamental functional importance: the anti-codon, which is responsible for specific mRNA codon recognition, and the 3' end, to which the tRNAs corresponding amino acid is attached (by aminoacyl-tRNA synthetases). tRNAs cope with the degeneracy of the genetic code in two manners: having more than one tRNA (with a specific anti-codon) for a particular amino acid; and 'wobble' base-pairing, i.e. permitting non-standard base-pairing at the 3rd anti-codon position. RNAcentral also lists the same sequence under 11 other names. The record is from RNAcentral. Lineage: Bacteria; Bacillati; Cyanobacteriota; Cyanophyceae; Synechococcales; Synechococcaceae.